UGAAACAUCUAAGUACCUGGAGGAAGAGAAAGAAAAAUCGAUUUCCUGAGUAGCGGCGAGCGAAACGGAAAGAGCCCAAACCAAGAAGCUUGCUUCUUGGGGUUGUAGGACACUCUAUACGGAGUUACAAAAGAAAGUUAUAAAUGAAGCGGUCUGGAAAGGCCCGCCAAAGACGGUAACAGCCCGGUAGUUGAAAUGGCUUUCCCUCCAGAGUGGAUCCUGAGUACGGCGGAACACGUGAAAUUCCGUCGGAAUCCGGGAGGACCAUCUCCCAAGGCUAAAUACUCCCUAGUGACCGAUAGUGAACCAGUACCGUGAGGGAAAGGUGAAAAGCACCCCGGAAGGGGAGUGAAACAGUUCCUGAAACCGUGUGCCUACAAGUAGUUAGAGCCCGUUAAUGGGUGAUAGCGUGCCUUUUGUAGAAUGAACCGGCGAGUUACGAUUUGUUGCAAGGUUAAGCGGAAAAAGCGGAGCCGUAGCGAAAGCGAGUCUGAAUAGGGCGCAUAAGUAACAGGUCGUAGACCCGAAACCAGGUGAUCUACCCAUGUCCAGGAUGAAGGUAAGGUAAUACUUACUGGAGGUCCGAACCCACGCACGUUGAAAAGUGCGGGGAUGAGGUGUGGGUAGCGGAGAAAUUCCAAUCGAACUUGGAGAUAGCUGGUUCUCUCCGAAAUAGCUUUAGGGCUAGCCUCGAGGUAAAGAGUCAUGGAGGUAGAGCACUGUUUGGACUAGGGGCCCUUCUCGGGUUACCGAAUUCAGAUAAACUCCGAAUGCCAUGUACUUAUACUCGGGAGUCAGACUGCGAGUGAUAAGAUCCGUAGUCGAAAGGGAAACAGCCCAGACCACCAGUUAAGGUCCCCAAAUAUAUGUUAAGUGGAAAAGGAUGUGGGGUUGCUUAGACAACCAGGAUGUUGGCUUAGAAGCAGCCACCAUUGAAAGAGUGCGUAAUAGCUCACUGGUCGAGUGACCCCGCGCCGAAAAUGUACCGGGGCUAAACAUAUUACC
This 1005-nucleotide ribosomal RNA is filed under the name Listeria monocytogenes. RNAcentral describes it as "partial 23S ribosomal RNA". It matches the Rfam family "Bacterial large subunit ribosomal RNA", at positions 194 to 1195 of the family's 2925-position model. The record is from RNAcentral. Lineage: Bacteria; Bacillati; Bacillota; Bacilli; Caryophanales; Listeriaceae.